UACGAAGGGGGCUAGCGUUGCUCGGAAUUACUGGGCGUAAAGCGCACGUAGGCGGUCUUUUAAGUCGGGGGUGAAAUCCUGGAGCUCAACUCCAGAACUGCCUUCGAUACUGGAAGACUUGAGUCCGGGAGAGGUGAGUGGAACUGCGAGUGUAGAGGUGAAAUUCGUAGAUAUUCGCAAGAACACCAGUGGCGAAGGCGGCUCACUGGCCCGGUACUGACGCUGAGGUGGCGAAAGCGUGGGGAGCAAACAGG
Molecule: ribosomal RNA, 254 nt
Filed under: uncultured bacterium
Lineage: Bacteria
Description: partial 16S ribosomal RNA
Rfam family: Bacterial small subunit ribosomal RNA
Source: RNAcentral